AAAGAGCAAUGGAGCACUUAACCCAGAGUAUGGCGAAGAUGACGCAAUCACUGAAGGCAAUUCAGAAAGAUGUGGCGUCACUGAUUAAUCCAAAGGCAGCUCUUAUUCUUCCAAAGCAGACAUGAAUAGAGUUAUGGAGGGAGAUAGAUCAAGAAGUGAUUUAGAGGUUCAGCUACCGCCUAACAUUCACAAGGUGCAUGUAGGGGAUCAAUGGGCG
RNAcentral lists this long non-coding RNA (217 nucleotides) under Olea europaea (common olive). RNAcentral's name for it is "long non-coding RNA (OEUR_LNC009991)". Lineage: Eukaryota; Viridiplantae; Streptophyta; Magnoliopsida; Lamiales; Oleaceae. The record is from RNAcentral.